GCAUUUGUGGUUCAGUGGCAUAAUUCUUGCCUGCCAUGUGGGAGGCCUAGAUUUGAUUCCUAGCCAAUGCA
Podarcis lilfordi (Lilford's wall lizard) is the source of this 71-nucleotide non-coding RNA. NCBI's taxonomy places the organism in Eukaryota, Metazoa, Chordata, Lepidosauria, Squamata, Lacertidae. The record is from the annotation of a GenBank genome assembly.